This 253-nucleotide ribosomal RNA is filed under the name uncultured bacterium. Its description in RNAcentral is "partial 16S ribosomal RNA". It matches the Rfam family "Bacterial small subunit ribosomal RNA", at positions 524 to 776 of the family's 1533-position model. The record is from RNAcentral.
AACGUAGGUCCCGAGCGUUAUCCGGAUUUACUGGGCGUAAAGGGCGCGUAGGCGGCUUGCCAAGUCAGGGGUGAAAUCCUGCAGCUCAACUGUAGAAGUGCCUUUGAUACUGGCGAGCUCGAGGGAGGUAGGGGUGGGUGGAACUUCUGGUGGAGCGGUGAAAUGCGUUGAUAUCAGAAGGAACGCCGGUGGCGAAAGCGACCCACUGGAUCUCUACUGACGCUGAGGCGCGAAAGCUAGGGGAGCAAACGGG